This 774-nucleotide ribosomal RNA is filed under the name uncultured Neocallimastigales. RNAcentral describes it as "partial large subunit ribosomal RNA". It matches the Rfam family "Eukaryotic large subunit ribosomal RNA", at positions 22 to 644 of the family's 3401-position model. Lineage: Eukaryota; Fungi; Neocallimastigomycota; Neocallimastigomycetes; Neocallimastigales. The record is from RNAcentral.
CAUAGCGACUAUCGUGGCAUAUCAAUAAGCGGAGGAAAAGAAACUAACAAGGAUUCCCUUAGUAACGGCGAGUGAAGCGGGAAGAGCUCAAAUUUGAAAUCUUCAAGGUUCUACCUUGACGAAUUGUAGUUUAUAGAAGUGUUUUCUGUUAGUAGAGUGGCAAAAGUUCUUUGGAAUAGGACAUCAUAGAGGGUGAGAAUCCCGUAUUUGGUCAUUCUUUCUAGCUUUGUGAUACACUUUCAACGAGUCGGAUUGUUUGGGAAUGCAGUCCAAAAUGGGUAGUAAAUUUCAUCUAAAGCUAAAUAUUGGCGAGAGACCGAUAGCGAACAAGUACCGUGAGGGAAAGAUGAAAAGAACUUUGAAAAGAGAGUUAAACAGUACGUGAAAUUGUCAAAAGGGAAGCGUUUGACACCAGUGUUGUUUUUCCGAAAAUCAAUUAAAAAUUGAUUCAUGCCAGGUUGUAUUGACCUUAUCAGCUUGCAAUUUGGUUUUGGGUCUCUUUUUGAUGCACUUUUCGGUUAACAAGUCAACAUCAAUUUCCUUUGCUGUAAAAAGGUAAGAGGAAGGUGGCUUCAAUUUCGGUUGAAGUGUUUAUAGCCUUUUAUCUCUGCAGUCGGGGAGAUUGAGGUCUGCAGCGUAGAUCCUUCGGGGCUAGAUACAUUUAUGCUAAGUUAUAGCUUUUCAUAGACAACUUGUUGACUAUGUUUAGUCAUGUAGCUUACUCGUAAGUGCUAUUUUACCUACGCUUAGGAUGUUGAUAGUCACAGCGUGUAC